RNAcentral lists this ribosomal RNA (442 nucleotides) under uncultured prokaryote. Its description in RNAcentral is "bacterial SSU rRNA". It matches the Rfam family "Bacterial small subunit ribosomal RNA", at positions 355 to 796 of the family's 1533-position model. The record is from RNAcentral.
UGAGGAAUAUUGCGCAAUGGAGGCAACUCUGACGCAGCCACGCCGCGUGCAGGAAGACACCCCUCAGGGGCGUAAACUGCUUUUGUACGGGAAGAAUGCCCGGGUCACCCGGGAGCGACGGUACCGUACGAAUAAGGACCGGCUAACUCCGUGCCAGCAGCCGCGGUAAUACGGAGGGUCCAAGCGUUGUCCGGAAUCACUGGGUGUAAAGGGUGCGCAGGCGGGCCUGUAAGUCAGGGGUGAAAGCCACCGGCCUAACCGGUGAAUUGCCCUUGAUACUGCAGGUCUUGAAUCUCGGAGAGGCUAUCGGAAUUCGUGGUGUAGCGGUGAAAUGCGUAAAUAUCACGAGGAACACCAGAUGCGUAGGCGGAUAGCUGGACGAGUAUUGACGCUCAGGCACGAAAGCGUGGGGAGCGAACAGGAUUAGAUACCCCGGUAGUCC